This 279-nucleotide ribosomal RNA is filed under the name uncultured bacterium. RNAcentral's name for it is "partial 16S ribosomal RNA". It matches the Rfam family "Bacterial small subunit ribosomal RNA", at positions 506 to 784 of the family's 1533-position model. The record is from RNAcentral.
UGCCAGCCGCCGCGGUAAUACGGAGGGGGUUAGCGUUGUUCGGAAUUACUGGGCGUAAAGCGCGCGUAGGCGGACUAUUAAGUCAGGUGUGAAAGCUCGGGGCUCAACCCCGGAAGUGCACUUGAAACAGCAAGACUUGAAUACGGUAGAGAAGAGAGGAAUUCCUGGUGUAGAGGUGAAAUUCGUAGAUAUCAGGAGGAACACCGAUGGCGAAGGCAUCUCUCUGGGUCGAUAUUGACGCUGAGGCGCGAAGGCGUGGGUAGCGAACGGGAUUAGAUA